GCCUCCUUAGCUCAGUCGGUAGAGCAGCUCAUUCGUAAUGAGCAGGUCGUGGGUUCGAGUCCCAUUGGAGGCUCCA
Molecule: transfer RNA, 76 nt
Filed under: Bacteroidota bacterium
Lineage: Bacteria; Pseudomonadati; Bacteroidota
Also listed under: 1 other name
Description: Bacteroidetes bacterium (anaerobic digester metagenome) tRNA-Thr
Rfam family: tRNA
About the family: Transfer RNA (tRNA) molecules are approximately 80 nucleotides in length. Their secondary structure includes four short double-helical elements and three loops (D, anti-codon, and T loops).
Source: RNAcentral